RNAcentral lists this ribosomal RNA (1026 nucleotides) under Triticum aestivum (bread wheat). RNAcentral's name for it is "partial small subunit ribosomal RNA". Lineage: Eukaryota; Viridiplantae; Streptophyta; Magnoliopsida; Poales; Poaceae. The record is from RNAcentral.
AUGAGGAUGUCGCUGCUGAGAUCCGCGUCGCAGCACCUGCGCCGCCGCCGCGGCUACUCGUCGACGCCCGCGCAGCCGGAGCGGAAGGUGGCCAUCCUCGGCGCGGCGGGCGGCAUCGGCCAGCCGCUGGCGCUGCUCAUGAAGCUCAACCCGCUCGUCUCCUCCCUCUCCCUCUACGACAUCGCCGCCACGCCCGGCGUCGCCGCCGACGUAUCCCACAUCAACACCCGCGCCCUGGUGAAGGGGUUCGUCGGGGACGACCAGCUCGGGGAGGCGCUGGAGGGCGCCGACCUCGUCAUCAUCCCCGCCGGGGUGCCCCGCAAGCCCGGCAUGACCAGGGACGACCUCUUCAAGAUCAACGCAGGGAUCGUCAAGGGCCUCUGCACCGCCAUCGCCACGCACUGCCCCAACGCUCUCGUCAAUAUGAUCAGCAACCCUGUCAACUCGACUGUCCCAAUUGCAGCUGAGGUGUUCAAGAAGGCUGGUACCUAUGAUGAGAAGAAGCUGUUUGGUGUGACCACUCUUGAUGUUGUUCGUGCUAAAACAUUCUAUGCUGGAAAGGCGAACGUGCCAGUUACUGGGGUGAAUGUUCCUGUUGUUGGUGGCCAUGCUGGAAUCACUAUCCUGCCACUGUUCUCACAGGCUACUCCUGCAAGUAAUGCAUUGUCCCAUGAGGACCUUGUCGCCCUCACGAAGAGGACACAAGAUGGUGGCACGGAAGUUGUUGAAGCGAAGGCUGGAAAGGGCUCAGCAACAUUGUCGAUGGCAUAUGCUGGUGCAGUUUUUGGAGAUGCAUGCUUGAAGGGGCUCAACGGUGUUCCUGACAUCGUAGAGUGCUCUUUUGUCCAAUCAACUGUAACAGAGCUGCCAUUCUUUGCCUCCAAGGUGAGGCUGGGCAAGAGCGGCGUGGAGGAAGUGAUGGGGCUGGGCGAGCUGUCGGCGUUGGAGAAGGAGGGGCUGGAGAGCCUCAAGGGCGAGCUGCUGUCUUCCAUCGAGAAGGGCGUCAAGUUCGCGCAGGAAAGCUAG